AUUAAAAAUAGUCAUUUGUGUGCUUGUGUGGGCACGCCUGUGAAGUUUGUGAGCACUUCUGGGCUCAGAGCCAGGUGGUGGGCACUGGCCAGCCGCACCACCAGGCCUCUGGAGGAGCCUGCAAUGUGGGCCCCGGGCCUACCCUGUGCUUCCUGGAAGCCACAAGCACUUCGUGGCGCCCUUCUGCAGUGAGAGUCACUCUUGAGACCCCUGGGGGAGAAGAUUUAGCACAGGAGCAUUCUGGACAAGCUUGCUCUUUCAUUCCCAUGCAGAGAUCCGAGAGCCAGGAAGAAAAUGCCGUCCUUGACAUAGAUAGCUUCUCCAAGGACACAGAUUAAGGCAUCAGGCAUUGGGCUCGAGAGCUGAGUGCCCAGCCCCGGCCCGCACCCUACUUCUUCACAGAACGCCCCACCUCGCCGGCCUCUGCUGCAGACCCCGGCGGCCCCAGGGGCCCCGGCCGGGCGGCUCCCACCUUCGGGAAAGUCCGGAAAGCGGCGCCGGGCUCCGCGGGAAAAGGCGCCUGUCGGGCCGAGCCGCCCAUCAGCCUACUGCUCUGCUUCUGAGCGUUCGCAAACUGCGGAUCAUUCUGUUUAAU
Molecule: long non-coding RNA, 595 nt
Filed under: Heterocephalus glaber (naked mole-rat)
Lineage: Eukaryota; Metazoa; Chordata; Mammalia; Rodentia; Bathyergidae
Description: lncRNA (ENSHGLG00000037132.1)
Source: RNAcentral